Molecule: long non-coding RNA, 1924 nt
Organism: Cygnus atratus (black swan)
Lineage: Eukaryota; Metazoa; Chordata; Aves; Anseriformes; Anatidae
Exons: 2
Source: RefSeq, a predicted model, not a curated record
UAUGCAAAAUCAAGUAUGCCAGUGUCCUGGAUGGGAGGCAGCAACUCAUGUUUGCAUCUGUAAUUUCAUGUGUCCUUAAAGUAUGGCAGUAUAGUAUUUUGAGUUGAAAAGAAGAUCCUAAUGAAAUAGCUGGGUAGUAAUUUUGGGAAGUACGGAGUACAUAUUAACUGAGUAGAGAGAUUUUUCAAAUUUUUUUUUGCAUUAGGAUUAGGGUGAGCAUUUCAUUGUUAAUGUUUUUUAUUUAAUUUUCUAGUAACAAAUGCUACCUGUUGCCUCCUGAAUUUUGUCCUUUCAGCCUCCUGAGGUGUAAGCAGAAAAACCAAGUGCUUAUCUUCAUUGUGAUUCUUGGCUUGUGCUUCCAAAUAAAAUUAGUUCCCAAAGAGCUAAAGCAACAUAUGGAGUAUAUCUGGGAAUCUAAGAGUGUAAAAGUUGAAAUUUGGAAAGGAAGACCAGGAGAGGAGAUUGGACUUGUCUUCUUGUGAUCUUUGAAAGUUAGGUCUUGCACAGAUCACUUAAUCUGUCUUAGUUCUGCCAAUAAAGAAAACAUCUUACCUUCAAUCAUCAAGAUGUAUACAAAAUAGGGGUAUUUGAACAAGAACUUGCCUUCUGUGUAUUUAAACUGUCUGGUACAGGGAGCACCAAUAUCACACAGUUCGUGUAUCACUGAACUCUUCCUUUGUAAUGCUGUCCUCAUUUAGAAGCACUGAGGAAAGAAUUUCACAGAACUUGGUGGUGGCAGAGGGGUAAGGCUGCUUAUAUGCUAUAUUCCCUUUUCAAAAUGAUCCUUAACGUAGUGAUCCCUUAGUUUUCUAAUGUGUUGCCCUUGGUAUUUUUUAUGUGUGUGGUCAUCCUUGUUUUGUUUUUUUUUUAAAUCACAGCAUGUUAAGUGAAAAUUGCUAGCGUGGUGUUGAAGUGCUUUUCAAAGCCCCAGGUCCUUUGGGACAAAAGGACAUGGUUGUGGCUACAUCCAUCCUUUCUUGUUUGAACAAUUUCAGUGUUGUGAUAGUUAUUGAUACCUGAGAUAUUCAGGUAGUUUUGUUCUAGAAGGUAGAUUUAGUCUCAUAAUCUCUCAUGUCAAAUCUUUUAGUAACAAGCCUGGUUUCUGAAGUACCAUUGACUUGUAAUGGUCUUAACUGAUUAAUGCUCUUGUUGCUAUGUUUUAAAUGUAACUUUUAAAUUCCAGUGUGUAUCUGUGACUUUCAUUGAGGUCAGUGGGAGUUGAAGGACAGAAUUCAGGCCUAUGGGAAUUUGGGCCUAAUAUUGCUUUUUUUUUAAGAGUUAGUAAAAUGAUAUACACGACAUAUACAAACACAACAGCGUUCAUGUAUUUCUGUAGUUAAAACAUGUCUCUUCCCUACUUAACCAUCCAACGAUAAUGAUUUUCUAUCCUAAUGAGCAUGGCUGAGAUAUUGUUAUGCAUAUUGGCAGAAGCUUUUGUCAGAUUGUGAAGAUUGCCUUUAAAUGUUUUUAUAAUGAGUUUAAUGAAUUUCUUUCUCCACAGUAUAUAGUUGAUGCUGAAAUUCUCUGCAGCUGUGGAUUUUCAUGUUUAGAUUUGUAAAUACCUGUUGUGCCACUUUGUUUGCAAAACAACUGUUGUUUGCUGGUAGAAUUAAAAUUGGUAUAUGAUUUUAUAGAAAGAGUAUCUUUUUAUGUUGAUCUGAUCUGACUCCUGUUAUGUGGUUUCGCUUAAUGUAGCCUACAUUUAUCUUCCAGGCUAGUAUUCUAUCCCUUUAUAUUUAAGAAUAAAAUUAAAUGUAUCCAAUACUUUUUAUUGAAAUCUGAGAGCCAAACUGUUUGAAAGCUGUUUUGCAUGCAUCCCUUGAGCAGUGAAUAUCAAACGGGCGUGUUGUGGCUGUGUGUGUUGCUACAAAAAACUAUUGGCUGUUGUGGUUUUGACAAGCAAAAUAAAAAUUAUAAGAGCGUG